GUGGUUAAUGACUACGACCAUUCGUCAGCUGUGCGCUUUUAAUUACGUAUAUUGUCGAUAAGAUAUAAGAGUUAAACAGAUUUUAUUUUUUCCCAGAAUUCAAUAAAUCGGGCUAAUACGUCACGACCCACUCGAGAAUUCAACCAAAAAAGUUACAAAUACUUGAUUUUCUCUGUUAUUAGAAGGAAUAUAAAUUUAAAACUUUGCAAAUGUGUUUUUUAUGUUAAGAUGAACAUAAUUAGAUGAUAAGUAAAAAAUCGCGGAAUUUCCCUUUAAAUUUGACACUGUAAUUUCAGAGGAGAAGAUUUUUUAAAAGAUUACAAAAAGGAGUAGGUCCGGUAAGGGCUGAUUUUGGCCUCAAAAUUCAAGUUCAUCUGGCGAAAGAUUGGACACUUUUUAAACACUUAAGUAUCUAUUUCAGCUGAUUCAAUAAGUUUAUGUGAAACAUUUUAACUGAUUUAGUCAUUUAACACACUCUGAUUCAAGCUCAAAUAUGAAAAUUUUCAGAUGGUUUUUGUCAAAAAUGAAAGUGGCCGCAUCCGUG
This 544-nucleotide long non-coding RNA is filed under the name Mytilus galloprovincialis (Mediterranean mussel). The record is from RNAcentral. Lineage: Eukaryota; Metazoa; Mollusca; Bivalvia; Mytilida; Mytilidae.